This 69-nucleotide transfer RNA is filed under the name Marmota monax (woodchuck). RNAcentral describes it as "tRNA.Ala". Lineage: Eukaryota; Metazoa; Chordata; Mammalia; Rodentia; Sciuridae. The record is from RNAcentral.
GCUCUUGUAGCUCAGAGGUAAAGUGUGUGCUCAGCAUGUACAAAGCCCUGGGUUCGAUCCCCAAUAUCA